CUACAGGAGGCUAUGGCCGAGCAAAGCGCUUGCCAAGAACAGGGACCCCCUGUUAUGAGGUAGAGUGGCGAACACCAGCACCAGGAUGGGGACCCGGUGGAAACACUCUCAAAUGUGUAGAGCAUAGCCCCUGGUAUAGGGGAACCAGGAAGGCUUGUCAGGUACAGCCUAUGGCAGUGGUGCAGGUACCCCCCUGUUAAGGAG
Molecule: long non-coding RNA, 204 nt
Organism: Bufo bufo (common toad)
Lineage: Eukaryota; Metazoa; Chordata; Amphibia; Anura; Bufonidae
Exons: 4
Source: RefSeq, a predicted model, not a curated record